CGGACUGAUGCCCUCUGGUUUGGGCGGUCAGCUGUUAACUGACGUCUUGUGGGAUCGAGGCCCGCUGGUCCUG
Molecule: transfer RNA, 73 nt
Filed under: Draco maculatus
Lineage: Eukaryota; Metazoa; Chordata; Lepidosauria; Squamata; Agamidae
Description: tRNA-Asn
Source: RNAcentral